GUGGGGAAUAUUGGACAAUGGGGGAAACCCUGAUCCAGCCAUGCCGCGUGAGUGAUGAAGGCCCUAGGGUUGUAAAGCUCUUUUGUGCGGGAAGAUAAUGACGGUACCGCAAGAAUAAGCCCCGGCUAACUUCGUGCCAGCAGCCGCGGUAAUACGAAGGGGGCUAGCGUUGCUCGGAAUCACUGGGCGUAAAGGGUGCGUAGGCGGGUUUCUAAGUCAGAGGUGAAAGCCUGGAGCUCAACUCCAGAACUGCCUUUGAUACUGGAAGUCUUGAGUAUGGCAGAGGUGAGUGGAACUGCGAGUGUAGAGGUGAAAUUCGUAGAUAUUCGCAAGAACACCAGUGGCGAAGGCGGCUCACUGGGCCAUUACUGACGCUGAGGCACGAAAGCGUGGGGAGCAAACAGGAUUAGAAACCCUAGUAGUCC
This 425-nucleotide ribosomal RNA is filed under the name uncultured bacterium. Its description in RNAcentral is "bacterial SSU rRNA". It matches the Rfam family "Bacterial small subunit ribosomal RNA", at positions 354 to 796 of the family's 1533-position model. The record is from RNAcentral.